AAAAGUACUCUGCAAAAAUCUCUGUUCAGGGCAGUAUGCCCGGUGAUGAUAUACUGAGAGCUGUAAUGCGCAGCCACCAAUUUCAAGCUCACCGAUUUUUCAAACUCUAUCGCGACCUCUCCAGAGGCUACAUGCAUUCGCAUUUCGAUCUCUCCCGCCACUUUUUCAUUUAUAUCUCUCCGCUUCUUGUUACACAUUAACUCUCCAAUCUUUGUUCCCUCGAUUCGAUUCAGGUGGCGGUGGUCUACUAGGUUUUGGCUCUUUUGGGCGACCAUGAUUUCAGGCCAAUGGGUGCUUCCAGUUCAGUACUCUAUACUCUAUACUUAUGAUUGAGGAUUUCACAUGAGAUAAUAAUUGAGCAUUGUUGAUAUUUUUCUCGUCUGCUUCUCUGCUUAUAAAUCUUUAUGUUUUGGUAAUCUUUGAAUCUUUGCUGAAUGAUACAUUGUUGAUAGUGCAGUGUAAGAAAUUUAUGAAUAAAGUGAUGUGUUUCAGAUUGUUGAUUGUUGAGUGAUACAUUUUUCAUUUUUGAUAAUACAGUGUAAGAAAUUUAUGAUUGAAUAAAUGUUUGAAUCUUUGUUGAA
Molecule: long non-coding RNA, 581 nt
Organism: Ipomoea triloba (trilobed morning glory)
Lineage: Eukaryota; Viridiplantae; Streptophyta; Magnoliopsida; Solanales; Convolvulaceae
Exons: 2
Source: RefSeq, a predicted model, not a curated record